Molecule: ribosomal RNA, 253 nt
Filed under: uncultured bacterium
Lineage: Bacteria
Description: partial 16S ribosomal RNA
Rfam family: Bacterial small subunit ribosomal RNA
Source: RNAcentral
UACAGAGGUCUCAAGCGUUGUUCGGAUUCAUUGGGCGUAAAGGGCGCGUAGGCGGCGGGGUAAGUCUGGUGUGAAAUCUCGGAGCUCAACUCCGAAAUUGCACUGGAUACUGCUCUGCUAGAGGGCUGGAGAGGAGAUCGGAAUUCACGGUGUAGCAGUGAAAUGCGUAGAUAUCGUGAGGAAGACCAGUGGCGAAGGCGGAUCUCUGGACAGCUCCUGACGCUGAGGCGCGAAGGCUAGGGGAGCAAGCGGG